This 132-nucleotide ribosomal RNA is filed under the name Salvator merianae (Argentine black and white tegu). The record is from RNAcentral. Lineage: Eukaryota; Metazoa; Chordata; Lepidosauria; Squamata; Teiidae.
UUUAGCUUCUGUAUAAUGNCCAAGAGGCAGCUAAAGAAGUGAUGGAACANCACACUGUUGAAGCUAAGCAGGGUCAGGCUGGGUCUGUGCUUGGAUGGAAACCACAUAGGAAUACCAGGUGGUAGACUAAGA